AGAACGAACGCUGGCGGCAUGCCUAAUACAUGCAAGUCGAACGAACACUUCGGUGUUAGUGGCGCACGGGUGCGUAACGCGUGGGAAUCUGCCCUUGGGUUCGGAAUAACAGUUGGAAACGACUGCUAAUACCGGAUGAUAUCGAAAGAUCAAAGAUUUAUCGCCCAGGGAUGAGCCCGCGUAGGUAUUAGCUAGUUGGUGAGGUAAAGGCUCACCGAAGGCGACGAUCCUUAGCUGGUCUGAGAGGAUGACUCACGACCACACGUGGGACUGAGACACCGGCCAGACCUCCGACGGGAGCAGCAGGUAAGGAAUAGUAGGACAAGUGGGCG
Molecule: ribosomal RNA, 332 nt
Filed under: uncultured soil bacterium
Lineage: Bacteria
Description: bacterial SSU rRNA
Rfam family: Bacterial small subunit ribosomal RNA
Source: RNAcentral